UGGGGAAUAUUGGACAAUGGGCGCAAGCCUGAUCCAGCCAUGCCGCGUGAGUGAUGAAGGCCCUAGGGUUGUAAAGCUCUUUCACCGGUGAAGAUAAUGACGGUAACCGGAGAAGAAGCCCCGGCUAACUUCGUGCCAGCAGCCGCGGUAAUACGAAGGGGGCUAGCGUUGUUCGGAGUUACUGGGCGUAAAGCGCACGUAGGCGGACUUUUAAGUCAGGGGUGAAAUCCCGGGGCUCAACCCCGGAACUGCCUUUGAUACUGGAAGUCUUGAGUAUGGUAGAGGUGAGUUGAAUUCCGGGUGUAGAGGUGAAAUUCGUAGAUAUUCGGAGGAACACCAGUGGCGAAGGCGGCUCACUGGACCAUUACUGACGCUGAGGUGCGAAAGCGUGGGGAGCAAACAGG
This 404-nucleotide ribosomal RNA is filed under the name Actinomycetes bacterium. Its description in RNAcentral is "Actinobacteria bacterium partial 16S ribosomal RNA". It matches the Rfam family "Bacterial small subunit ribosomal RNA", at positions 355 to 776 of the family's 1533-position model. Lineage: Bacteria; Bacillati; Actinomycetota; Actinomycetes. The record is from RNAcentral.